UUGCAAUGUCCAACAAUCAUAAUAAAUGUCCAAGAUAACAUAUCAACUUAAAUAACCCUAAUCUAAGAUAACUUAUGCCAUAGUCCUUCUAGUCGCUUUCCCAUUUUGGAACCCCAAUAGACUAGUUCUCGGAAUCUGUAAAAUAAUAAGAAAUUGUAUAAUGAGCUAGACAACCCAGUAAGUAAUGAACACUCUAACUAGAUAAAUCAAGCAAUAAUAUGUGAAAAAUAAAUAUAUACGCAGUUCCAAAGUACAAGUCAAAUAUUUCUUAAAUUUAUAAGAUUCUUUUCACGGUUUCGAGAUUCUUUCACAUAUUCAAUUCAUCUUGUCGAUCCUAGACUAUGACCACAUGUUCCCUGUGGCAGGGUCAUCAACACCGACUAAUCUUCUUGCGGUGAGUCCCUCAGGACAGUCAAUUGCCAACGUAUCUGCCCCCAUUGGCGGGGUCCUCAACAUAGCCAGGUGAAGUUCAAUUAGUUCACUAUUUCAUAUUUCAGUCAUGAAAACAUGCAGUAUCAAAACCAAAUAUCGUUCAUAUCUUAAUUUCUUUCAAUUUAUCAGAUUCAACUCAACAGCCAGGAACUAUGACCACAUGUUCCCUAUGGUAGGGUCAUAACACCGACUAUUCUUCUUGCGGUACCCAUGUAUUAGCCCCCAUUGGUAGGGUCGUCAACAUAGCCCGACUGCAAGUCUGAAUCUAGUACAAGUCAUUAUCUUUUCUUACAUUAUGUUCAGUGUUUCAAGCCGAAAAAUACAAUAUCAGAGCAAUUAAAUACAAUUCGAACAAGAAGCAAAUAUGUUCAAUCAGAAUCAUACAAUAUUCUAAAAAUAUACAUAUAAUCCAUGCAUCAAAUUCGUAAUCACAAAUAAUUCGAUUCGUAAAACAGAUAUUUAGUUUGCCGAUAAAUCUAGUAAAGAGGUUACAUCACUUACCUUGCGAACGCAAUCCAUAACAAAUCCAAUUAAUUCUGCAAAUUCCUCGCAGAACCUAAUAUUCAAAAAUUAUAUUCUUCUUUUAAAAUUCAUCACAACAUAUAUAUACAAAGACUUAAAUUUUAAUAUCCUCCCAUGGCUGGCCUUGCAGGAGUGCCUAGUACCCGAGUUUGGGUUCAUACCCGUAAACCACCCCCCUCUCUUUAUUAUUAUAUUUAUUAUUUUUUUUUCUUUUCUUUUCUUUUCUUUUCUUUUCUUUUUUUUCUUCUUUUCUUCUUUUUCUCUUUUUCUUUUUCCUUCUUUUCUUUUUCUUCUUUCUUCUUUUCUCUCCCGACUCCUCUCUUCUCCUUCGGCGAAACAGGGGAUCCGUGACCCCCCUGCCGCCCCCUUCUUCUUUCCUCUCGGUCGAUCCCAAGGGCGGCCGCGGUGGCCGGCCUCGACGGCGGCAGGAGGCGGCGGAGCAAGGGCGACCUCCCCCUGUCGACUGGCGAUGGCGCACAAAGCCGAUGGUGGAGCACUCGGCCGACCCAUUUUUGGGACCCAAAUCCGGCGAUUAGCCGGUUCCAAACCACAACACAUCAUGUCUAAGCCCUGAGAGAAGAGGAGAGGAAGGCUAAGGACUCUUAUCUCCGCACCUACGAAGAUCCGGUGCCUCUCUUCUUCUUCGGCAACAAAGGAAGAAGAAGGCCGCCCGUGCCGUGGCUUCUCUCUCUCUCUCCCUCUCUCGGUGGCAACACGAAGAAGAAUGAAGAGCUCCAACCCAAGGGAAGCUCGGGCAAGGCGGCUACCUCGGGUGGCCUCAAAGGAAGGAGGAAGAAGCCCUAAAAACAGGGCUUCCUUCUUCUUCGGGCGAGAAUCCCGCUUCUUUUUGUUUUUUUUUUUGCCCUCACGUGCGACACACGCGAGGCUGAAAGGUUUGGGUCUCACAUUCUCCCCCCUUAAAAUAAUUUCGUCCUCGAAAUUAACUCACUUAAGGCUUCAAAUUUUGAAAGUAUGGAAACAUCAUAUCAUUCUCGAGCUUCUAAACAAUCCAUCUCGAAAUGCAACCUCACAAGAUUUUGGCAAAAUCAUGGCAUCUUAAAACUUAAUCCUUUCCAUCUAUGAUUCAUAGCAAGUUCUUUUGAUCUCUUUCAAAAUAAGACUAACCUUCCAGCCUUGGAUUAAAAUGUCAUAAUUCUUCUUUUUCUUUUUGAAAAAGAAAUUAAUUGCUCCUGAUUAAUUCUACAUAGAAAUUUAAUCGGUUAAAUGUAAGUAGGAGAAAGCUUUAGUAUCAAAUGCUCCUCAUUUUUUUUUCCAUGAUAUAAUGAUCAACCUUUGUCUUAGAAAAACCUCAAGCCCUUUCAAAGCCAAAUUAACAAUGUUAGAAUUAAGAAUAGGAGAUCCAUGUUAAAACUUUCCAGAUCUAAGUCCAACCAAGUAACCAUCAAUCCAUUAAUAUUAAAUUUCCCAAGAAUUGUCAACAAUAGAAAACCCCACUGAUGAAAAUUACAUAGCUACCUUCAGAUUAUUCAUAGAACCAACAACAUUCUUCUCUACUAGAAGACUAACCCCAGUCUUCCAAUAGUUCUACUUAUCAAUAUAAUUUCAUCUUAUCAUAAGAAUAAGGUCCAAUACCUCCAGAUUUGGUUCUUUUUAUAGAUGAUGUAAAUCAAACUUCUCUCUCUCAUAAAUAAAAAUCAACAUCUUAAUUUUAAAAAAGAACAUCAAGUUUCUUUGUCAAAAUAUCAACUACUCUUGAUUAAUCGAUCUAUCACAAGAUUAGAUCAUAAACAACUCUAAUCCACCCCUAGUGGAAUAUUCAUCAAAGUCACUUGACAACCUCAAGUUCUUUCAAAUAGAGGGUUGAUAUUAAUUGAAGAAGUACAAGCUUCAGAUUUAGGAGGAAAGAGGUCUACACCAAAAUAUUCCAGAUCCAAAAUCAAAAUCAUUGAUCUAUUAAUUCUAAUCUCAAGAUGUUAAUCAUUUCCUUAGCAUGACAUAAAAUUAGAGAACCUAAGAUAGUGCAGCGACAUCCAAAAAUUCAAAAUCAAAUCAAGUCUUUUGUUAUUAAAACUUGCCGAAUUAAAGGGAUAAUACUUCUGACCAACUUAGAAAAAUAGUUCAGACCACUAUGCUUUCGCUGCACACUCUGAUUCAAACCACCAAAUUUUUUUUUUUGAAUUCACUAAUAACUUUUUUAAUCAAAAUACUACCUUGUAUUUUGAACUAAGGAGAUCCAAAAUUUUAAUUUCCAAGUAAAGCCCAAAAAGAACUUUUGAUUUCGUCCUCUAACUUCCCCCGAGUACAUCCAUCUAGACUGAUCCUUGAGUCAAUUGAUACGUUCAAAAACACCAUAUAGACUAGUUACUAUAAUUCAAAAUAAAUUGAAUCUUUUUUUUUUGUCAACUCAACUAGACGAUUCCAGGUCAAACUCUUACAAGUAAAAACAACCAAAAAAAUUUUCUGAACGCUCCACCAAGAUAGAACACCUUAAAUCAAUAGAUAUAAGUAAGAUCAACUCCAUCAUCUCUCCUAGAGUUUUCUUCAUCAAGAUCUUUGAUGUUUAUCAAAAAUCUUCCAUCAUAACCAUGUAAGCCUCUAAAAUUCAAAUUCUUUAGGCAAAUCUAGAUUUUAUAAGCAUCCACAACAAUAUUGACAAAAAUUCUAGUUCAACUAAUAAAUCCAAACUUUGAAUUGAAGUUUCAUAUACAUCACGUAGUAUCCGAUAGAGAUCUAUUAUUUGGAUCCAAAUAGGACAAUUAAAAUUAUUAAUGAUUACUCCAAGAUAAAUACUUUACAAUCUCCAAUAAAAUCAAUUCUUCAAUAAGAAAAUAGACCUAUUUGCAAUAUCACCCUGCACAUUUUUCUUCUACAUGCUAGCUUCAUUCCUAAUCCACAUAUAGGUUCAGACCUCAAAGAAUAUUCCAAUCAAGCACUGUAAAAAGGUUUCAUAGCCCAAAUCUUAAACAACUUCAUAUAAAUGGAUCUUAAUUUGCCUCUAAAAAAAAAUUAUCUUCAAAAUUAAGCAAUAUCAUAGUAUACCUCCAUAUUAAUUUUUGAGUUUACGAGUUCACUUAAAUAAUAAAUAAUCACAAUGCAUGAUAAUAUUCCAUGGCCAAUCCUUUUGCACUUAAUUUAGAUCCAAAUCUAACUAAUUAUAACUUGAUUCAUAGAUUGCCCAACCUUCCAUAAUGUAUCAAACCUCAUAAGUAAAUUCAAUCAUAAUUUCCUAGUAACCUUCUCAUACAUAAUCUAUCACAAGGCUUAAUAGAAAAUCUUGAAAGUAGCUUACAAUGCAAUCGACAUAGAUUCACGUCCAAUGCCCUUAGUGUUUACCCACCUACACUCAUCUUAUGUCAGAUUCUUUGUCUUAGAUUUUUUCGACUUAUGCUCUAAUACCAUAAAAGUUGUCACGCCCCCAUCCCGAGAUCGUGAGUCGGGGGUCGCGCCAACCGCCGCACACCCGUAGGAAACUCUUCCCACGAGCAUGCAAGGCAUCUUAACCAAACAUCUCAAUUAUAAAAGUCUAAAAUAAUUUAACUGAAUAAAUACAAUCUUAUUCCAUCGACUAACUCAAGUCAUAAAGUCUCACAGUUCAAAAUACGCAACGGAACAUUAAUUUACCAACAUGCAGAAACCUAGUUCUUAAAAUAACAAACCUUGCAAUGUCCGACAAUCAUAAUAAAUAUCCAAGAUAACAUAUCAACUUAAAUAACCCUAAUUUAAGAUAACUUAUGCCAUAGUCCUUCUAGUCGCUUUUCUAUUUUGGAACCCCAAUAGACUAGUUCUCGAAAUCUGUAAAACAAUAAGAAAUUGUAUAAUGAGCUAGAUAGCCCAGUAAGUAAUGAACACUCUAACUAGAUAAAUCAAGCAAUAAUAUGUGGAAAAUAAAUAUAUACGCAGUUCCAAAGUACAAGUCAAAUAUUUCUUAAAUUUAUAAGAUUCUUUUCACGGUUUCGAGAUUCUUUCACAUAUUCAAUUCAUCUUGUCGAUCCUGGACUAUGACCACAUGUUCCCUGUGGCAGGAUCAUCAACACCGACUAAUCUUCUUGCGGUGAGUCCCUCAGGAUAGUCAAUUGCCAACGUAUCUGCCCCCAUUGGCGGGGUCCUCAACAUAGCCAGGUCGAAGUUCAAUUAGUUCACUAUUUCAUAUUUCAGUCAUGAAAACAUGCAGUAUCAAAACCAAAUA
This 5101-nucleotide long non-coding RNA is filed under the name Phoenix dactylifera (date palm). RNAcentral's name for it is "long non-coding RNA (PDAC_LNC008831)". Lineage: Eukaryota; Viridiplantae; Streptophyta; Magnoliopsida; Arecales; Arecaceae. The record is from RNAcentral.